This 116-nucleotide small RNA is filed under the name Rhizobium phaseoli. RNAcentral describes it as "Alphaproteobacterial sRNA ar35". It matches the Rfam family "Alphaproteobacterial sRNA ar35". RNAcentral also lists the same sequence under 1 other name. Lineage: Bacteria; Pseudomonadati; Pseudomonadota; Alphaproteobacteria; Hyphomicrobiales; Rhizobiaceae. The record is from Rfam by way of RNAcentral.
AUUUAAGGAAUUAUGCAGGAAGGCUUUGAAUAUCAUCUCCGGAUCGUGACCACGGAUGUACUGGCACGGUUCGUCGAGAUGGCAGGGAAGGUCGGGUUAACCCGGCCUUUUUGCGU